This 103-nucleotide non-coding RNA is filed under the name Burkholderia diffusa. Its description in RNAcentral is "Fluoride". It matches the Rfam family "Fluoride riboswitch aptamer (crcB RNA motif)", at positions 10 to 64 of the family's 64-position model. Lineage: Bacteria; Pseudomonadati; Pseudomonadota; Betaproteobacteria; Burkholderiales; Burkholderiaceae. The record is from RNAcentral.
GCCGCCUGCGGAGAUGGCAUGCCUCCCUGCGGUCGAUCCCGGCGCGUCGCGCGCGGUUCGGCCCUCAACCGCCGGUUGCCCGGCUGAUGAUGCCUGCGUGUUC